UUAUGGCCACAUCACGUUGAACCACCGGUCCCCGUAAGAUCAUUAAAGUUAAGCAACGUCGAGUCUGCUCAGUACCUAGAAGGGUGAUAGCUUGGGAAUACCAGGUGUUGUAA
Molecule: non-coding RNA, 113 nt
Organism: Acanthosepion pharaonis
Lineage: Eukaryota; Metazoa; Mollusca; Cephalopoda; Sepiida; Sepiidae
Source: the annotation of a GenBank genome assembly